AUGAACGCUGGCGGCGUGCCUAAUACAUGCAAGUCGAACGAAACUUCUUUAUCACCGAGUGCUUGCACUCACCGAUAAAGAGUUGAGUGGCGAACGGGUGAGUAACACGUGGGCAACCUGCCCAAAAGAGGGGGAUAACACUUGGAAACAGGUGCUAAUACCGCAUAACCAUAGUUACCGCAUGGUAACUAUGUAAAAGGUGGCUAUACUACCGCUUUUGGAUGGGCCCGCGGCGCAUUAGCUAGUUGGUAGGGUAAAGGCUUACCAAGGCAAUGAUGCGUAGCCGAAUUGAGAGGUUGAUCGGCCACAUUGGGACUGAGACACGGCCCAAACUCCUACGGGAGGCAGCAGUAGGGAAUCUUCCACAAUGGGCGAAAGCCUGAUGGAGCAACGCCGCGUGGGUGAAGAAGGUCUUCGGAUCGUAAAACCCUGUUGUUAGAGAAGAAAGUGCGUGAGAGUAACUGUUCACGUUUCGAUGGUAUCUAACCAGAAAGCCACGGCUAACUACGUG
This 511-nucleotide ribosomal RNA is filed under the name uncultured bacterium. RNAcentral's name for it is "partial 16S ribosomal RNA". It matches the Rfam family "Bacterial small subunit ribosomal RNA", at positions 29 to 507 of the family's 1533-position model. The record is from RNAcentral.